CACAGCAUUCCGCGUUUUCUUCUGGCUCUGACGCCGCCAGACUUGCACAUGGUAUGCAGACAUACAUGCAUGUAAAACACUCAUACACGUAAAAAUAAAAAGUCUUUGAAAAAUUUAAAAGGGUUAGGUGUGGCAGAGCACUCCAAUCCCAACAUUCGGGAGGCAAAGGCAGAUGGCGUUCAAGGCCAGCCUGUCUACACUGUGAGUUCUAAGAUAGCCAGGGACACAUAGAAAGACCCUGUCCCAAACACAAAACAAACAAAUAAAAUAAUUUUUUUUUUAAAAUCUAAGAAUAAGAAGUUUAAAAGAGUAAUAUAGAGGAAUCAUUAAUAGUACGCCAAGACACGAGGCUUGUUUCCAUCUUUGUUUGGAACAAGGAGAAGACAAAAAGUGGCCGUGAUUCCCCUCAACAGAUGAAAGCCCUCAUAGCAGCAUGUUGGAUGGAAGAGAACACAUUUUUGAAUUCCAGUUCUUCAGACAGCCCGCCACCGGAAGCCCAGCUCUCGUGCUAAAUCCGCGGCCUUGAGCAUGUUCCUGGAAGAGCAGGCAGUGUCAUCACAGGGACGUUUGGAUGAUUCCAUGAUUGGCAGCUGAAGACACAACGAGCUUGCAGGACAAGAAGCAGAACAGGUUCCCUGAAGCAGUGUUUCUCACACUUGUGAAACCAGGGUUUGUGGCCAGAAGUGCACAUCCCGGUGACCCACGAGAGAGGAAGCAGUAGACACAUAUUGGUGAGGUAGUCAGGGGCAUUGCCAAUGAGCGGUGGGCAGCUUGUCAACUGCGUGACUCUCAGAGGCAGUGCGGUAGGCGGCACUAUGGAGAUCACCAAUUCACACCUCCUCAUCCCUCCUCCUACUCCCUGGCUUUGGAAACACUAAGUACUUUGGGAUCUGGAGUCGCCUCCCGCAGCUGCUGAGCUGUGUGGCUGUGCUGUGCCAGUUAUCCCCACCCCCCUAACCCCCCCCCCCAUGGCUAACCCUUGAGGAAUGGUUUUAGUCUCUUCACUCACUGUAGCCCUGGAAAGACAUCUGACCACAAUGCCCAAAUGGGGAAGAUUUCCUUUAACUUCCUCGUAACUUCACAGAAAGGCAAGAAUGUCAGAGAUCCUGGAAAAGGCUCACCCCGUGACCAACCAGCUUGCAGGACAAGAAGCAGAGCGAGUUCCCUCAAGCAGUGUUUCUCACACUUGUGAAACCAGAACUUCUGGUCAGAAAUGCGCAUCCUGGUGACCCAAGGGAGAGGGUGCAGCGUAUGCUCAUGCGCAAGGAUAAAUGUGAGCUUGAAAAAAACGGGACAGGAAUGUCAGAGGCAUGACUUUCCCUUUCCAAAGCAUGCAUUCUGUUUUCUAUUAUUGCUUUUGCAAAGCUGUUUUUGACCUA
Rattus norvegicus (Norway rat) is the source of this 1379-nucleotide non-coding RNA. The record is from RefSeq and is a predicted model, not a curated record. Lineage: Eukaryota; Metazoa; Chordata; Mammalia; Rodentia; Muridae.